RNAcentral lists this small RNA (5928 nucleotides) under Rattus norvegicus (Norway rat). Its description in RNAcentral is "uncharacterized LOC103692514". The record is from RNAcentral. Lineage: Eukaryota; Metazoa; Chordata; Mammalia; Rodentia; Muridae.
CCCGCCCUCCCCUCCUGGGCCAAGUCAGCAGUGCUGACGGCUGCGGGGCUGCAGCAGCGGCGGCGAUGCAGAGACCCUGCACCACUGCUCAGGGCGGGCGCAGUGCUCUGCCCGCACCCGCGUCCCGACGGCCACCUCCUGGCGGCUGCGCGUAGCCCGCGCCGGGUAGACCCUACCGGACGGCGGCGCUGAUUGGUGCAGCGAGUGAGUCCCUGGCUUUAUUUAGACCACCUUUUCUGGAAGACAAUACUUCACUAGAGUCGAGGGCUGGGGGCAGGAGGCAACCCUCCCCGGCGACGGGAGGAUGAUAAAUGAGCAGUUCUGUGCCUGGUGGCUGUUAACUCCAGUGGCUUUGCGCAUCCUCCGACCGACCAUUUCCACAGCUGCUUUGCGACUGCACACCCAAGUGUGGGGCAUGCUUAGAGGAAACUCCAGUGGAGAACAAGAAGACCCUCAGAAGGGUUAGGAGGGCUUGGGACCAGACCGGGGAACCUGUGUCCGGGCACCGGUUUUGGAUCUUCUGCUCUGAGACACCAGCUUGGAAGACAAGGCUGCCUUCUUGUUUGGGGGGUAAGGAUGGUGUUUUCAACUAAGGCAUCUGAUAGGUGAGGCGAAGGGACCUACUGGGACCCUAUUCUUGAAUGUUCUUCUUUGGCUUCUCUGGGACAGCCUGUGGCAAGAAAGGCUUGGAAGUGGUGGGCAAAGAUUUGCGCGCCCCGCAGCAGCGUACCAUUGGCAGAAGGUUGAAGUUGGUUGCGAAGUCCGGUUUCCUCUGCAGAGGGAAAGGAACCCAGUGAAUGUGGGUGGGGUCCAGAGCCUCUGGCCCUCUUGGGUGAGAAUAUGGGCUUUAGUGGCAGGAAGCAAGGCCUGGAAACAGAGAGGGAAGCCUCAGGGGUUCAGGAGGCAUCUUCUACCCAGAAUUGUAAACGGUGGGGAAAGUAUUUGGGCAAAUAGCUUGAAAUUGUUACUCAGGAGCCCAUUCCUGGUCUCCCAGGCAAAGCAGGAAGUCAUGGCAUGCUGCACACCCUUGAGCUGGCCGUCGUGAGACACUUCGGAGGCUGGGCCUCUCUGUCCUGGACCCCGAAGUUCACGCGGGAAGACAUAUUGCCCUGUGUCCGUCUUUUCCAGCUUUGGGUUGAGGGUCUCCUCCUCCCAGGCUGCCCUUGAGGCCUGCAUUGUGCUGGGGGUUGGAGGAGGAGGAGGAGGGAAGUUGGGGAGAAGGUACUGAGUUAACCAAAGUAGCAGGGCCAGCAGACCCCGGUGUGUCUGUGCUGAUGUAAUCAGUUUUAGGGACUGGUCAGGCCUGUGGCUGUCCCAGAACUGACACCAGGGAUCCCUCUUGCUCAGCCCAGGACAGGACAGCAUUGCGGUUGUGUCUCCCUGCCAAGGACGCAGGGUGAGGUGGCUCUCCAGAAGAGGUUUACCCUUCAGGCAGAACCAAGUGGUCAGUCUAGGGACUCCGAGAGUUGACAGCUACAGGAGGUUGGCUUCCUCCUGACAAUGAGAUGCUGGUGGAGGUUACCCUGUGAAGAGGCAGCGCCCAGACUCUGGGAGUCAGGCAGAGGCAGGGGUCACAGGGAAAGAUACUAAGUUGCUAAUGCUAUCCAAGGCCUGCAGUACUUCAUCUGUCCCUGGUCAGCAGUUUCCCCACUGUCUGUCUUCUGCAGAUCUGACAAAGGAUCAAGCUUUGUCAUUCUUUUCAUGCACUUAAACUUUAACCCCCAGGGCCCAAAGCACAGUAACUUUGAGACUCUCUAGACUAAGCCUCUGGAAAUUAUCCACCCAAACUCUGAGCUGAGCUCGGAGUGGAAGAGAGCUCCAGAGGAGAGCUGACUUUCCCAAGGACACGGAAGGCUCAGGGCUGACCUGAGAUCAUCAGCGCUGGACCCACCGGGUACCCCGAUGGUGACAGAGGACAAGGUAAAGAAACUGGGGAUCUGGAGGGGAUACAGGCGUGGGAGCAAGGCUGGGUGAAUACGAGACAAUUCCGCUUCACUCCCUUUGAGCGCCUCUGCAGCGCCCCUGGUUUACAACUGUCACUGGGCAACGUGCCAAGGGGAGAAGCCAUUCUGCUGCUUUUAUAGUUCCUCCUCUGCAAUUCUGGAAAAUCAGGGCCACUUGGGUCUGGCGGCUCGCUGUCUGGUUAUUGGUACUGUAAUUCAGACUUUGGCCAGCAGGUGGCUCCCAAGGACACGGUAAGGAAAUGGAACCGGCGCUCCGCCCGGCAAGCCGGUUUCCAAGAAAGGGGUUUUCAGUUUUCCAUGGUCCGGUGAGUUGAGGCAGACAAUAGCUUUCUUUCUUUUUAUUUUUUUCUUUCAAGAACAAGAACAAGAAGUUUGCUUAGAAAUAUCUGGAGCUGUUUGAUAUCUGUGUCACCUCCUGAGUCAUUUUAUUUUUGCGAUGCAAUGUGGUUUAUUUGUGGGAAUUCCACCGCGGUUCUUAGAGCCGAUCUGACCUGUCAUUUGUGCAUUAGCGAUUACCGGAAAUUUAGCAAUAUUCCCAAGAAAGGUCUAUCAUUCUAUAGAGUGGCCAAAGCAGGUCCUGAACUCAGCCUCUGCCGAGUUUCAGGGGCUCUGUAGACAUCGUGCUUGCAGAAUAUCAAAAAGACAAGCAAGCACUGACGCGGACAGGGAUCAUCGACCAGCUUUAGUGCCAUUCUUACCCCGUCAACUUCUCCUUCAAGGAUCGAAAGAUAUUUCUGUCUUUGGCAAUAUCUGUUGGGAGUCUCAGCUCACUUUUGUAUCCAGAGAGGUCCCUGUUUCUUCCCAAAUGGUUCCUUGUCGCUAACUCGCCUUGAUGACCUUCAGAGGUGAAUUACUGCAAUCCUCUAGGAAUCAGCCCAUUUGCUUAAAUCAGAUUGUCUUGCUUCCCUGUGAUAAAACACUCCUUACAGACUCCAGUGUCUGCGUUAGAUGCUCGUGUCUUGGUCACUUCCGGUUUAGGUCGAAGUGGGAGUCUGUAUUCUAUAGCAACCUGAGUGGACUGCAGAUGCAGAGAGCUGCCAGACCCCUGCUGAGAUCUAGGUGACCUUGACAGGGUUACAGAGAAUCAACCAAGAAACUUAGAGCCACCUUAUAUGUGACCAAUAAGCAAACCAGUUUUUAUUUUUACUUGCUUUAAAAAUUAUUUUCAUUCGUUGUUAGAGUGUUGUGUGAGUGUGUCAGGGGGUACUCGUGCAUAGAGAUCAGGAGAUGAAUGGCCGGAGUCAGUUCUAAGUCUUCUAUCCAGUGGCUUCUAGGGAUUGAACUUAAGUAGUCAGGUUUGGUGGUGAGCACUUUAGGCCAGUUCCCUGGCCCUGUUUAAUUCACUGAUGGUGCAAAAUCAUUACAUUUUCUACAGAUUGGAAUUCCCCUCCCCCAUACCACACCCCGAACCAGUCCCCUUGGGACAGGGUUUCAUACUGUGUCAUCGGCUGCCUGGCUUUGAACUCGAAGCAAUCCUCAGGAUUUCAAAAGCAUGCCUCCCGAGUGCUGGAAUUACAGCUUCCAGUGACCCAAAGUGGUUUCUGUCCCAACACGUUCCCUCACGGUGAGAGAGACUCAGCUUCAGCCGGAAGCCGGGUGACGGAGAUGUGGCCACACCGACCAUCUAAAGCGACCCCCAACUCCGAUGAAGCCUGGCUGGAAAGACGCGGCUUCCAUCCUGGGAGCCUGGAGGAGAAUCGAGCAGUGGCUAUUGCCUGGGCUUGCCUGGGCUUGUUCAGACAGGACUGCUCCCCUCGGUGACUGCACAGAUUGGGGGCUUUGGGAGACGUUGCCAGAAUCUGGAAGCCAAGGCCGGGGGCUACAGGGGCCCGGGGUCUGCGCACCUGCUCGCCGCGGAGCUCAGGAGUGCGUCCAGACAAACAACUUGACGGAGGAAAGCAAGAGAAAUGUAUUCGCUCGCAGUUCUGCAAGCCAAAAGUUUGAAACACAGCAGCGUCCACCCGUCUGUUGUCUCUGUGAAGGGAUCCCGCCCCAGCUUCCGAAGUCUGCCUGGGCCUGUGAUCCAGGGUCUGGUGUGGGAGGAAGGCAGAAGCCUGACUAUGAGGACAGAAGGGUCAGAAUACUAGUCGGACUACCAGAACCUGCCCAGGUACUGCCCCAGCGUGGAGGACGGCUGCUGGAACAAAGCCUAGUGUGUCUGUCGGCUCCCCUUGGGGUAGCUGAGCAAAGGUGUCGGCUUUGAGUUGCGGCUUCAUAAAGUGUUCCUCGGAGACAGGCACACCCUGAAUGAUGCCUGAGACCUGCUGGGCCGCUCCCAGCCACAGGCAGCUGCCUCCUGUUGCUAUGUGAAUUCCAUCAGGGUUCUCUCUGCUCCUUUCUCUGCCCCUCUGCUACCUUAGGAAAAAUGGGGGGUCUGGGGUCUGUAUUUCCGGUUUGAGUUUUACAGUUGGGAACCCACCCUGCAUCUACUGGGAAACCCUCCGUGUGCCUCCAGCUUCCUCUUUGGGCUCUUGCCUGCCGGUUCUCUUCGGCUGACUCUCAAAGACUCCCCUUCUUUGGACAGCUCAGAAGCACAUGGUCAGAACCCAAGUGACAGACGUCCAGCUGGCUUCAUCGCAACUGCGUCUGUGACCUUCCACCCAGACAGGGCUGUGUGUUGUAGAUGCUCCCCCUAUGCCAGGCACGGGGUGAAAGGGAAGAGAAGCGAAAUCUGCCUGCUCAGACCUCUUGAUCCUGGGUAACAAGGAAAUUGCCCUUGAUGCUCUCAGUCUAGGGCUCCGCCCCCCAGCUCAGCUAUGCCAAUCAGCACCUUGGUGAAUCCACCAAGCCAAGCCAUCCCCUUAACAAACCAGCAGCCCCCAAGAAUUCAGGGCUUCUUUCUGACAUCUAGGAGCAAGAGGGACAGAUGGACCCUGUGUGCUCACAGCAGAGUUUAGGAAGGGGACCCCUCACAGCUGAAGGCGGCCUCUGUGCUCCUAGAGGCAGCUGACCAUGCCUUUGCCCGUGGACAGCGCCGGGCCCUGUGGAUUCCAGGGUCUGGAGUAGAGCCAGCCAGCCCAUGGAUGGACAGUGGAACUGCUUUCUCCAAAUAGCUGCCUACAGAGAUAGAGCAGCCCUGAGAUUUGGCCCUGAGCGUGGCCAAGCACAGCUCCAGGCCCCACCCAGCCUCACCCAGCCUCACCCCCAUGACUGACUGGACAGGCCAGCAUGCUCAGGUGUGGAGACUGGGGGUUUUCCUCCCUCUCCCCCCUUCUCCUCUCCUCUCUGUUCUCUCUUUUCUCCAUUAGCUCUUGGAUUAGCAUCCAGAUGACUCAGGGGAGGCGGUCUGGUGCCUGCUUCCCUGGGCAAAGGAGCAGCGGUGGGGAGGGACAAGGAACAGGUGAGUGCACACCUCUGGAGGGGCCCAGGUAGGUGCUGGCAGCUUGCCUAGCUCCUAGCAGCUGUGCUAUGCCUGAGGGGGCAGUGAGCUGAGCAUGUCAGACAGGUGGAGCCAGGCUGCCCGUCCCAGACACACAGGUCCUCUCUUGGGUUACUGAACAGGGAAACACCCUUUCCUUUCCCCCACUGCCUUAGUUCCCUGGCACCUCCAGGGACCACUUCCAACAUCUGAAGAGGACACUGGAAGCGGAGAACGGGUUGCGAAUUCGCUUGGAGAGACCCUGGUUGAGUUCGAGUGUGGAAACACAAUCUUGGCCUUGGAGAAGCACUUGUGGUUUUCAGGCCCUUGGUUCUGAGAAGCCGAUCUCACAAGGAGCCCAAAUGUUUAGUGACAAAUUGAGGGGACAGGUCCAGAAACCUUAGGGAGGUCUGUCACUGGAAGAGAACUCUGGAAGAGAAGCUUUAUUGGGUAAUGUGAGCUUUUUCCUUCCGGGGGAGGGGAGGCUGCCUCUGCUCAGUGACAGCACCUGGCUUUAUUGGGGUGACCCUCUUUGGUUUCUGUAGGGGGGAGAAGGGCUAGACUUCCUCAAAUACAACCAUAAAUUACAGACACUUACUGGGAGUG